RNAcentral lists this ribosomal RNA (468 nucleotides) under uncultured bacterium. RNAcentral's name for it is "partial 16S ribosomal RNA". It matches the Rfam family "Bacterial small subunit ribosomal RNA", at positions 28 to 507 of the family's 1533-position model. The record is from RNAcentral.
GACGAACGCUGGCGGCGUGCUUAACACAUGCAAGUCGAACGGAAAGGCCCUGCUUUUGUGGGGUGCUCGAGUGGCGAACGGGUGAGCAGCACGUGAGUAACCUGCCCUUGACUUUGGGAUAACUUCAGGAAACUGGGGCUAAUACCGGAUAGGAGCUCCUGCUGCAUGGUGGGGGUUGGAAAGUUUCGGCGGUUGGGGAUGGACUCGCGGCUUAUCAGCUUGUUGGUGGGGUAGUGGCUUACCAAGGCUUUGACGGGUAGCCGGCCUGAGAGGGUGACCGGCCACAUUGGGACUGAGAUACGGCCCAGACUCCUACGGGAGGCAGCAGUGGGGAAUAUUGCACAAUGGGCGGAAGCCUGAUGCAGAAACGCCGCGUGCGGGAUGACGGCCUUCGGGUUAUAAACCGCUUUCGCCUGUGACGAAGCGUGAGUGACGGUAAUGGGUAAAGAAGCACCGGCUAACUACGUG